Chroicocephalus ridibundus (black-headed gull) is the source of this 1583-nucleotide long non-coding RNA. RefSeq lists it as uncharacterized. The record is from RefSeq and is a predicted model, not a curated record. The transcript has 3 exons. NCBI's taxonomy places the organism in Eukaryota, Metazoa, Chordata, Aves, Charadriiformes, Laridae.
UACGGGGCGUUUUAUGGGAAAUCCCAGCUCCUACUCUUGCUAUCAGGUGGCAUCUCCCACACUUGUCCACGGUCCCUGAUCCCACGGGACACAUGGGACAGGAGUCCCGGGUGCCCCAAGUCACCCAGUGCCGCUUUCAGACCAACACAGCUGGGCCUUGCUGGGACGCAAACGGCUGGUUUUAUCCCCCGAAAGGCAACUGUUUCCUGCCAGAAAAUGACAUUCCAUCGAUAAAUACUCGGGAUGGAAAAUGUUUGACCUUCCUUAUUCCUUGGCUCCCAUGGGCAGCUGGCCAGGGAGGAGAAACCAUCGGCUCCCCUUGUCCUCUUCAGCCCAGUUGCAGCUUCUGCUGGACACCAGGAGGGACGUGUGCCUGAAUGCCAUGAGCAUCCGAGACCAUUUGCCGGCCGGCGAGGGGGUGAUCAGGCGGUGUCUUCAGCGUGAAUCCAACCGAAAGCCAAUGCCUUUUUCUCCCGGUUUGGAAGGUGUCCGGUGGCCGUGUCGCUGAUGGAUGUGGCAAAGGCAAGGGAAUUAGCAAACCCAGGAUGGAGAUACACGGUCCGGCAGAGCAGAAACGGGGAUUUCGGAACGGCGCGGGGGGCUCUGCACCCACCAGCACCCAAAGGUGCCCCAAGAGUAAGGAGCUGGGGAAGAUGAAUUUGCGAUGGAGCCUAGCUCGCCGGAGGGGUUAAAGCUCCGCUCCCGGGAAGAGCCGGCUCCUUUCCAGCCUGAGUAAGGCCAUCGUUCCUGCCAAAACCCGUCACCGAAGGCUGUUGCGGGGUGGGUUUUUUUUUUUUUUUUUCCGGCUGUAAACAACAUCGAUGCUCGCCGGUGCCGCACAGCCCGCGGGGCCGGCACCGCUCCAACCCAGAAGGCGUUUUGAUGAUGUUGGUUAAUUAAGGAGCUGGCGAAAGGCAUGACCCAGGCGCUGGCAGAGGAACCAGCUGCUGGGACAGGAGGGGGUCUGCAGCCACCCCGGCCCCUUCCCCGGCCCCGUCGCCGCUUUGGGGUCAUAUUUGGCAAAACCCUUGGGAAGGACGGCGGGGAUUUGCGGCCGCGGCGAGGACGAGAAGCACCACGGCAGCGCCGGGCAGGGUGUCUGGCCAAACCAUGGCUGCUUAUUUUCAAAUACCCGCCUGGACCACCCUUCCCGGCCCCAAAUUUUCAGGGCAUGGAAAGCCACCGGUUGCGUUGCAGUGAGGAGGGACACACCGGUGUCACCUCCAGGCCCCAGCCAGCGCGGUGGGACGGGCACAGCGAGGGGGAAUGGAGGUGGCUGGAGGGGUUAAAUCUCCUCUCCCGCUCCCGGGAAAGGGCCGGCUCCUUUCCAGCCUGAGUAAACCCAUCACCCUGCCAAAAUCCUACUCGGCGCUCAAGGCCGGCGCGGGGUUUUUCCGCCCGAGGAGCGACGCUCGAUGCCUGACGCGGGGGUACGGAGCAGGGAACGCAGCCCAGCAUAAGCUGGCUGUGAGCCGGUGAUUCCAGCACCCCAAAAUCCUGCAGGAUCUGGCCCAGGACACCAUCCAGCGCUCGGGGUGCCUGCGCUGGUUCCAGCCUCCGCAGCUCCAUCCGGCAGCUCCGGC